CCCAGACUCCUACGGGAGGCAGCAGUGGGGGAUAUUGCACAAUGGGGGAAACCCUGAUGCAGCGACGCCGCGUGGGUGAAGAAGCGCCUCGGCGCGUAAAGCCCUGUCAGCAGGGAAGAAAAUGACGGUACCUGAAGAAGAAGCCCCGGCUAACUACGUGCCAGCAGCCGCGGUAAUACGUAGGGGGCAAGCGUUAUCCGGAUUUACUGGGUGUAAAGGGAGCGUAGACGGCAGUGCAAGUCCGGAGUGAAAGCCCGGGGCUCAACCCUGGGACUGCUCUGGAAGCUGUAAAGCUGGAGUGCGGGAGGGGCAGGCGGAAUUCCUGGUGUAGCGGUGAAAUGCGUAGAUAUCAGGAGGAACACCGGCGGCGAAGGCGGCCUGCUGGACCGUAACUGACGUUGAGGCUCGAAAGCGUGGGGAGCAAACAGGAUUAGAUACCCGUGUAA
RNAcentral lists this ribosomal RNA (446 nucleotides) under uncultured bacterium. RNAcentral describes it as "bacterial SSU rRNA". It matches the Rfam family "Bacterial small subunit ribosomal RNA", at positions 330 to 793 of the family's 1533-position model. The record is from RNAcentral.